CCUCUGCGUUCGCUGCGCGCUGCUGGAGGCUGUGGUCGCAAUGCUCCCCAAACGGCGGCGAGGGCGGAUCGAGUCCCCUAGCGGCGAUGCCGUUUCCUCCACGCCGCCCUCGACGCGCUUCCCCGGAGUCGCCAUCUACCUGGUCGAGCCUCGCAUGGGUCGCAGCCGCCGGGCCUUCCUCACACGCCUGGCGCGCUCCAAAGGCUUCCGCGUCCUUGACGCCUGCAGCUCCGAAGCAACACAUGUUGUGAUGGAAGAGACCUCAGCAGAGGAGGCCGUCAGCUGGCAGGAGCGCAGGAUGGCAGCUGCUCCCCCGGGUUGCACCCCCCCAGCUCUGCUGGACAUAAGCUGGUUAACAGAGAGCCUGGGAGCUGGGCAGCCUGUACCUGUGGAGUGCCGGCACCGCCUGGAGGUGGCUGGGCCAAGGAAGGGGCCUCUGAGCCCAGCAUGGAUGCCUGCCUAUGCCUGCCAGCGCCCCACGCCCCUCACGCACCACAACACUGGCCUCUCAGAGGCUCUAGAGACACUGGCCGAGGCAGCGGGCUUUGAAGGCAGUGAGGGCCGCCUCCUCACCUUCUGCAGAGCAGCCUCGGUGCUCAAGGCCCUUCCCAGCCCUGUCACAACCCUGAGCCAGCUGCAGGGGCUUCCCCACCUUGGAGAACACUCCUCUAGGGUUGUCCAGGAGCUGCUGGAGCAUGGAGUGUGUGAGGAGGUGGAGAGAGUUCGGCGCUCAGAGAGCUCUUCACCCAGAUCUUCGGGGUCGGUGUGAGGACUGCUGACCGGUGGUACCGGGAAGGACUACGAACCUUGGAUGACCUCCGAGAGCAGCCCCAGAAACUAACCCAACAGCAGAAAGCGGGUGAGCCCUCCAGAGAGGCUGGGCCCUGGGCUUCCCUAAACUGCACCCUGGAUCCCUCAGCAUCAACUCCCUAGAGGGAAGGGAGCAGGCUGGUGCAGAGGGUUUGGCGGCAGCCUUGUGUGGUGGGCUUCCUGGGGUUUCCACCCAGUGCAGUCAGCAUCUAUCACAGCCCUUUCUCAGUGGACGAUGCUGACCACAGCAAUUUCCAUGAUAUGCCAGGGGCUUGUGUCCACCUACUGGUUAGACUUUGACCAGUGACCGGGGACAGCCUGGGCCUUGGGCACACUGCCCAGUGUGGUGCCUGGCACCGAGCAAGGGAAAGAACAUCAGCUUUCGAGUUUGUUAGGCCUGGGUUUGAGUCCUGUCUACCAUUUGCCAGGUAGGUGACCAUUGCCCAAGAAGUAACCUCUCUGAGUCUGUUACAUUUUCUGUAAAAUGGAGAAGGAAGACUGGGCAUGGUGACUCACACCUGUAAUCCCAGCACUUUGGGAGGUCAAGGUGGGUAGAUCGCUUGAGCUCAGCCGUUCAAGACCAGUCUGGGCAACAGGGUGAAACCCCGUCUCUACAAGAAAUACAAGAGUUAGCCAGGCGUGAUGGUGGAUGCCCGUAGUACCAGCUACUCAUGAGGCUGAGGUACAAGGAUCGCUUGAGCCCCGGAGGUCAAGCCUUGAGGCCAAGGUGGAAGUUGCAGUGAGCUGAGAUUGAGCCACUGCACUCCAGCCUGAGUGACAGAGCAAGACCCUAUCUCAAAAAAAAAAAAAAAAAA
RNAcentral lists this small RNA (1625 nucleotides) under Pongo abelii (Sumatran orangutan). RNAcentral describes it as "retained intron". Lineage: Eukaryota; Metazoa; Chordata; Mammalia; Primates; Hominidae. The record is from RNAcentral.